This 301-nucleotide ribosomal RNA is filed under the name uncultured bacterium. RNAcentral describes it as "partial 16S ribosomal RNA". It matches the Rfam family "Bacterial small subunit ribosomal RNA", at positions 509 to 809 of the family's 1533-position model. The record is from RNAcentral.
CAGCCGCCACGGUAAUACAGAGGGUGCGAGCGUUAAUCGGAUUUACUGGGCGUAAAGCGUGCGUAGGCGGCUUUUUAAGUCGGAUGUGAAAUCCCUGAGCUUAACUUAGGAAUUGCAUUCGAUACUGGGAAGCUAGAGUAUGGGAGAGGAUGGUAGAAUUCCAGGUGUAGCGGUGAAAUGCGUAGAGAUCUGGAGGAAUACCGAUGGCGAAGGCAGCCAUCUGGCCUAAUACUGACGCUGAGGUACGAAAGCAUGGGGAGCAAACAGGAUUAGAGACCCCUGUAGUCCCUGUCUCUUAUAU